GUGUCUGUAGCCUAGUGGUCAAAGGCAGCACUCUAGCUGCUGAGGUUGUGGGUUCAAAUCCCACCAGACACA
This 72-nucleotide transfer RNA is filed under the name Cronartium ribicola 11-2. Its description in RNAcentral is "tRNA-Sup (CTA) (tRNA-Sup-CTA-24-1)". It matches the Rfam family "tRNA". Rfam says of the family: Transfer RNA (tRNA) molecules are approximately 80 nucleotides in length. Their secondary structure includes four short double-helical elements and three loops (D, anti-codon, and T loops). The record is from RNAcentral. Lineage: Eukaryota; Fungi; Basidiomycota; Pucciniomycetes; Pucciniales; Coleosporiaceae.